Long non-coding RNA from Colossoma macropomum (tambaqui), 1387 nucleotides. RefSeq lists it as uncharacterized. The transcript has 6 exons. The record is from RefSeq and is a predicted model, not a curated record. Lineage: Eukaryota; Metazoa; Chordata; Actinopteri; Characiformes; Serrasalmidae.
CUCGGCUCGGCCCUGGGAACGGACAACUAGAUAGGAGACCACAUCUGGACGUAAUCGAGAGAAUAAAAGAGCCUACCCACAGAGGAAACUGAAAGGGAAACUGAAAGAUCCUGUUUUCUUCUGACACAAUGAUUCCAAGUGCAGUGAUUUCCCGGAAACCCAUACACUCUGCAUAACACCAUCAGACCACCCCCACCUCCUUGUACCACUCAGUGCUGUGGACAAACGACUGGGGGAAAGAUCACAGCCAUGCAGCAGGACUGAAGAAGAAGAGGUGCAGGCAGGUAUGAAACACACCUGUAUGAGGGGGCACAACCUCCACACUGACUGAACGUCCAUAACCACAUGAGCCUCUUCCUUAACUCAGCCAAGACAGAGGAUAUUCUGGAGCACAGACCAGCAAAGACUGACCAAGAAAACACAGGGAGAUCUUCUGCCACUACUACAGCCUGGUUCACAGGGAGAUCAUGCAGGCACUUGCUCUGUUCCUCACGGUGGUCUUCUCUGUGCUAAGAGGAGGUGCAGGUCAUGUGAAGGUCCAAACAGAGGAGGUUGUUUGGUCAGCGUGCGAGCAGAGUGUCACCCUCUUUUGUAACAUUUCAACCCCGCACAAAAAUUUUAGCAUUGUGGAUUUUUUUUGGAUGAAUUCCUCGCAAGGAAAACUCUGCACACACUCUGCCACCCUGAAUACAGAAACCUCUGAUCGCUUCCACUGUCAGUACACUGAUCUGCAGCAGUUAGCAUUGACCAUUCUGAGUCCCGGGAAAGAUGAAGAGGGGCGGUACUUCUGUAAAUUGUUCUCAGAUCGUGGUCAUGACAGAGCCAACACAACCCUGAAUGUCUUAGAGUGCCCUGUAAGGAUAUCUGACCCGAUGGAGUCCAGCAAACUGGAAAACCAAGCCAGCACUUUACAAAGAAAAUGGACAACUUUGGUGCUUUUAUUAGCAGGACUUUUAUUUGCUUUUCUAUAAAAGCAAACAUUUUUGGAUGGUCCAAGAUCCUGCAGAUGGAUGAUUCUUUCUGCUUCUGUGAGAUGUGAAAAAAAUGGGUUUUUAGGAAUUUUGGGGGAAUUUUGGUUAAAAAGAAGAACUGAUUCAUCAGAGAAGUACAGAUUGAAAACUGAUUCCAGUUGUAUUGGGGAUCAAUUGUAGGUUUUUUUGUAUCUCAGGAAUGUAGGAGAGCUGUAAAAAAACUGUUCCCAUAAUGUGCAAAUUUCUUCUGGGAGAAAUAUGAAUCUCUCCCUGUGAAGCUGGACUAAUCUGAUGCAAUUUUUGUAUACAUUUCUGUGCUUUGAGGUAAAUGAUGUUCUGUAUAUUUCUGUAAAUACACUUGUACACACACCUUCCACAAUAAACAACAGUAUCUGACUGACUCUCUUAAUGAUUAA